RNAcentral lists this ribosomal RNA (428 nucleotides) under Proteus mirabilis. RNAcentral describes it as "bacterial SSU rRNA". It matches the Rfam family "Bacterial small subunit ribosomal RNA", at positions 72 to 495 of the family's 1533-position model. Lineage: Bacteria; Pseudomonadati; Pseudomonadota; Gammaproteobacteria; Enterobacterales; Morganellaceae. The record is from RNAcentral.
GAGAAAGCUUGCUUUCUUGCUGACGAGCGGCGGACGGGUGAGUAAUGUAUGGGGAUCUGCCCGAUAGAGGGGGAUAACUACUGGAAACGGUGGCUAAUACCGCAUAAUGUCUACGGACCAAAGCAGGGGCUCUUCGGACCUUGCACUAUCGGAUGAACCCAUAUGGGAUUAGCUAGUAGGUGGGGUAAAGGCUCACCUAGGCGACGAUCUCUAGCUGGUCUGAGAGGAUGAUCAGCCACACUGGGACUGAGACACGGCCCAGACUCCUACGGGAGGCAGCAGUGGGGAAUAUUGCACAAUGGGCGCAAGCCUGAUGCAGCCAUGCCGCGUGUAUGAAGAAGGCCUUGGGGUUGUAAAGUACUUUCAGCGGGGAGGAAGGUGAUAAGGUUAAUACCCUUAUCAAUUGACGUACCCGCAGAAGAGCACCG